ACUAAAACUCUAGCCCUACCACCCCCUCAAGAAGCUAUAGCAUUUCUAAUUUUCUAAAUUAAAACAUUCUAGCAGUCUAGUAAAGGCGAACAAAAAACUGACAGGAGCUAUAUAUAAAGUACCGCAAGGGAAAGAUGAAAUAAAAUGAAAUAUCUUAAGUGCCAAAAAGUAGAGAUUAACCCCCGUACCUUUUGCAUCAUGGUUUAACUAGUCCAACCAAGCAAAAAGACUUUAAGUUUGACCCCCCGAAACUAAGUGAGCUACUUCAAGGCAGCUUAAUGAGCCAACCCGUCUCUGUCGCAAAAGAGUGGGAAGACCUUCAAGUAGCGGUGAUAAACCUAACGAACUUAGUGAUAGCUGGUUACUCGUGAAAAAGAUCUAGUCUAACCCAAAGUUAACUUUAUACAAAAAAUAAAAAUCUAACUUUGGAGUCAUUCAAAUAAGGUACAGCCUAUUUGAAACAGGACACAACCUCAACUAACGGGUAAACUAACGGCUACCAUGAUCAAGUAGGCUUAAGAGCAGCCAUCUUUAAAAUAGCGUCUAAGCUUAAUUAUUUAGCCAUUUAAUUUCCUUAAUCUUCAUCAACCCUUUAUCCGUACCGAGUAACUCUAUACAUUUAUAGAAUUUUUUAUGUUAGAACUAGUAACAAGAAGAAGCCCUUCUCUAAAAUGCAAGUGUAGAUCAUAGAGGACCCACCACUGAUAAUUAACAUAUCUGAACCAACAGUAGUAACUCGACAAGAAAAUCCCACUAAUAUUUAUGUUAACCUAACACAAGAGCAUUCCAAGAAAGAUUUUAAGAAAAAGAAGGAACUCGGCAAACAUUAACCUCGCCUGUUUACCAAAAACAUCGCCUCUUGUAAAAACAUAAGAGGUCCAGCCUGCCCAGUGACUCUGUUCAACGGCCGCGGUAUCCUAACCGUGCGAAGGUAGCGUAAUCACUUGUUCUUUAAAUGAGGACUAGUAUGAACGGCACCACGAAGGUUACACUGUCUCCUUUUUCUAAUCAGUGAAACUAAUCUCCCCGUGAAGAAGCGGGGAUUAGCCUAUAAGACGAGAAGACCCUAUGGAGCUUUAAACAGAAUAACAACUGCUAACCCACAUUUAUUUUUCGAAAACUAAACUUUCAUCUUAGCAUCCUGAUUAUCAGUUUUAGGUUGGGGUGACCGCGGAGUAAAAAUUAACCUCCACAUUGAUACGGGAUCGUACCCUAAGCAAAGAGCCACAACUUCAUGCAUCAUUAAACUGACAUUAAUUGACCCAAUAUUUUUGAUCAACGAACCAAGUUACCCUAGGGAUAACAGCGCAAUCCUCUUCAAGAGCUCCUAUCGACAAGGGGGUUUACGACCUCGAUGUUGGAUCAGGGUAUCCUAGUGGUGCAGCCGCUACUAAAGGUUCGUUUGUUCAACGAUUAAAACCCU
Molecule: ribosomal RNA, 1423 nt
Filed under: Eupsophus calcaratus (Chiloe Island ground frog)
Lineage: Eukaryota; Metazoa; Chordata; Amphibia; Anura; Alsodidae
Description: partial 16S ribosomal RNA
Rfam family: Bacterial large subunit ribosomal RNA
Source: RNAcentral